UAGUGCAUGCAUGGCACGUGUGAAAAGCUACAGAGCGCGUGUAUUUGCUUUAUUUUGCAGUCUAAGGCACGUCGAAUCUUAUAAUUUCUGUCGCGCGAACAGUCAUUUUACUCCUACUCCUAGUGGCAGUAGCGCGCCGUGGGAGCAUGUGGCCAGAAUAGUUAAUAAGAGCUUGUCCCUAAAGCUCAGCCAUACUGUGCUGUCGGAAAUAUACCCACAUGGUUCUAUAUCUCCAGCUCACGUAUAAAAAUCGUGUUCCAUAAUGACAUCACCGUAUGGAGUGCACAAAUUUUGUCUCUAGAGACAAGUUAGAACCCUGGGCCUCUGGUAUAAGUCGUGAAAGACUUUACUGGGAUUAAAUGCUUAGGGUGGAGUCUAAGCAGCCGUAAUAUUCCACUGCCAGUUACUGAGCACUUCGAGUUCUGUUGUCAACAUGGCAGGCAGUGCACCCUUACAGACAGGCCUAGCUUCCCUAAGGCCCAGGGGCUGUACGACCCACUGCUGGAGAAAGACAUCUGUGGGGUGGGGUUCAUUGUCAACAUACACAGCAUCAGGUCUUGAAAGACCUUGCUCGACUAUGGCUACCCCAGAAGACCUGGACACCACCAGGUUCCUUCAUUGCAAGAAGCGCCAAAAGGUAUUUCUACAAAAGAGGAUUGUCAUGGGCCUCCAAUAUACCUUGCCUGUCAUCGAUGCACUUUCCAGUUCAAACACCGGGAUAAUCUGCAAAAGCACUACAGGAGGGCCCAUGAGCAGUUCCUUGGUGACCUCCAGACCAACGACCAUCGGCAGCUCGCCGGUCUGGUGCAGAGCACUGAAAUCCCUCCUCAGCCCACAUCGUAUAAGGUUUUGAAUGGAGUUGAGAUCCCUGUGGCUGAAGAGUUGGUCAUUUCUCCAUCAGUGUCACUCCUGCCAGCAGAAGCCGCCAAUCAAGGCUCGACCACCAACGAGGAAAUCCCUGUCACACCAGCUACAUGUACCAAGAUGGCUUCAGUGCCAGCACCGGUCACUGGCAAGUCACUGGCCAGUGAAAAUAGCAAGAAUUGGAGGUAAAAGUAUCACGGGGGAGGGUGGGGAGUGUGAAGAUUGCUACAUCUGCGACGACCCCAGCAACAGCGUACGCCCCGCCAUCAAGCAUCCAUGGGACAGUUUGGAGUCACAAUCUCCUACCUGGCUCAUGCUGAUGAGCUGCAGAUCAAGAUGGCACAGGGAGCCAAGCCCGGGGAAGGAGGUGACCUACCAGGCCACAAGGUGUCUGACAACAUUGCCAAAACUUUCUCCUCCGUUCCAGGGGUGGGGUUAGUCUCCCCUCCUCCUCAUGACAUCUACUCCAUCGGGGACUUGGCAGAGUUGAUUUACAACUUGAAUUACGUUAUUGAUGGCAAGAAAGAUCACGUUUCAUUGGUCAUGGAGAUCACCAGUCAGAGCAGCUGAGGUUCCGCAUCGCCAAGUAAGUCAGGAUGGGCUUCAUGUAAAUUGUCAUUUUUGUUUAAACAUCUGGUAUAGUUGUAGUUUGACAA
Acanthaster planci (crown-of-thorns starfish) is the source of this 1520-nucleotide long non-coding RNA. Lineage: Eukaryota; Metazoa; Echinodermata; Asteroidea; Valvatida; Acanthasteridae. The record is from RefSeq and is a predicted model, not a curated record.